CCUACGGGGGGCAGCAGUGAGGAAUAUUGGUCAAUGGCCGGAAGGCUGAACCAGCCAUGCCGCGUGAAGGUCAGUGCCCUAUGGGCGUUAAACUUCUUUUGUGCGGGAGCAAUACUGGUCACGUGUGGCCAGACGAGAGUACCGUACGAAUAAGCAUCGGCUAACUCCGUGCCAGCAGCCGCGGUAAUACGGGGGAUGCAAGCGUUAUCCGGAUUUAUUGGGUUUAAAGGGUGCGUAGGCUGUGAGGUAAGUCAGCGGUGAAAUGCCCCCGCUCAACGGGGUGAAGUGCCAUUGAUACUGCCUGGCUGGAAUGCGGAUGCCGUGGGAGGAAUGUGUGGUGUAGCGGUGAAAUGCAUAGAUAUUACACAGAACACCGAUUGCGAAGGCAUCUCACGAAGCCGCGAUUGACGCUGAUGCACGAAAGCGUGGGUAUCAAACAGGAUUAGAUACCCCUGUAGUC
RNAcentral lists this ribosomal RNA (460 nucleotides) under uncultured bacterium. Its description in RNAcentral is "partial 16S ribosomal RNA". It matches the Rfam family "Bacterial small subunit ribosomal RNA", at positions 338 to 795 of the family's 1533-position model. The record is from RNAcentral.